CAUGUUGGCAAACUCUUGGAUUGGAUUAUGUGGCCGAAUAGGCUUCUGACACCAUGUAAUGAAAUUCUAAUAUCUAGCAAUAUAUCGCCAAACAUUUCCAUGUAUUCCACUUUCUUUGUCAAACUUUAAAAGUUCACUCUACCGCUUUCCUAUGUGCAUCAUGAGUUCUCUCCAUACACAAUAUUCAAGGUCGGUGUGGAUGAUUACAUCGGAUGGACAUUGAAUAAGGGGUGGAGCAAUAGAAAAAAAAACCACCUUAAAAGAAGAAGGGUAAUUUUUAGUUCAUCAAAGAGUUCGACCUUAUAUCAAACUUCAGGGAAUCAUUUCAAGUCCAUCCAAACCAAUAGUCUUCUUCAUCAACAAUACAUCUAUAUUCAGGACUACAGCUUAGAAGUUGAAGAAAUGGUACCCGAGGUACCGGAGGAGCUUGAAGGUAAGGCGAGUAAGCAGAAAGGUCUCGGCGGCGGCGUGACCUAUAUCUCGGCUGAAAGACUGCUGGCGGGUCAGAGGAG
Long non-coding RNA from Carica papaya (papaya), 512 nucleotides. RefSeq lists it as uncharacterized. Lineage: Eukaryota; Viridiplantae; Streptophyta; Magnoliopsida; Brassicales; Caricaceae. The record is from RefSeq and is a predicted model, not a curated record.